RNAcentral lists this transfer RNA (70 nucleotides) under Paroedura masobe. Its description in RNAcentral is "tRNA-Thr". The record is from RNAcentral. Lineage: Eukaryota; Metazoa; Chordata; Lepidosauria; Squamata; Gekkonidae.
GUCUCGCAUAGCUUAAACACCUAAAGCAGCGACCUUGUAAAUCGAAAAUGGGACACUGUCCCUCGAGACA